RNAcentral lists this ribosomal RNA (488 nucleotides) under uncultured bacterium. RNAcentral's name for it is "SSU rRNA". It matches the Rfam family "Bacterial small subunit ribosomal RNA", at positions 26 to 521 of the family's 1533-position model. The record is from RNAcentral.
AGAAUGAACGUUGGCGGCGUGGAUUAGGCAUGCAAGUCGUACGGGGCCGCAAGGUACCCGUGGCGCAAGGGUGAGUAAGGCGACGGCAACCAACCCCAAGGCCGAGCAUAGCCGCGAGAAAUUGCGGGUAAUUCUCGGCGACGUCACGAGUCGGCAUCGACCUGUGACCAAAGGUGUGAUUCCGCCUUGGGACGGACCGUCGUGGUAUCAGGUAGUUGGCGGGGUAAUGGCCCACCAAGCCGAUGACGCCUACCGGGCGUGCGAGCGUGGCCCGGCACACUGGGACUGAGACACUGCCCAGACUCCUACGGGAGGCUGCAGUCGAGAAUCUUCGGCAAUGGGCGAAAGCCUGACCGAGCGACGCCGCGUGGGGGACGAAGGCCUUCGGGUUGUAAACCCCUGUCGAGAGGGAGGAAGGUUCUGUGCAGAGCAGAGCUUGACCGAUCUCUGGAGGAAGCACGGGCUAAGUUCGCGCCAGCAGCCGCGGU